ACCACUUCGUUCCGUAAUACUUUCAACUUUUCAAAAUAGAAUCGCAGAAUUAUAUAGAAAAUGGCAUUUUAUUUCUUAUACUUGAAUAAAUUGUAUUUUAUCACUUUAAACGAUAUCCUGAAUAAUGGAUACAGAUGAUAAACGAAAAUCUGUGAUAUUUUGGAAACACUUAACAGUUUGAAAGAGAGACUUGGAUAAAUAUACAUCUCCCUUGGGCUUAGAAAGCAAUUUCCUUUAUUACCUAUAUGAUCAUGUGUUAUAUAAAUUAGGCGUUUUCGAAGGAUUUUAAUUGGUACCAAUUAUCAGAACUUAAGACUUGAGACUCGUAAAAAUAUGACUAUCAAGGUAAGUGAAAUAAUUAUCAAGGGUUCCAUAAAUCAUUAUUACAAUUACAUUUAGGUUCAGUUUCAAUUAUGAGACUUACAGCAAUCAUUCACAGUUCUAACUGUCCAUCAAAUUGAGUGAUUUUUCGAACAUAGAUAGCCAUGAUAAAAAUCGUGUUAGCGAUGAUCAGUAAUAUAUACUAUAAACUCUAAUUUUAAUUCUUCUUAAAUUAUCUAUAGUAUUUUAGUCACUAAAUGCUUAAGGUAAACCAUAAA
Molecule: long non-coding RNA, 599 nt
Organism: Bombus huntii
Lineage: Eukaryota; Metazoa; Arthropoda; Insecta; Hymenoptera; Apidae
Exons: 2
Source: RefSeq, a predicted model, not a curated record